AACGUAGGACACAAGCGUUAUCCGGAGUUACUGGGCGUAAAGGGCGUGUAGGCGGACCUAUAAGUCUAUUCUGAAAGCUCCUGGCUAAACUGGGAGAGGCGAAUGGAGACUGUAGAUCUAGAGUGAGGAAGAGGAAAGUGGAAUUCCGCGUGUAGUGGUGAAAUGCGUAGAGAUGCGGAGGAACACCCAGUGGCGAAGGCAGCCCCCUGGGUCAAGAUUGACGCUCCAUGCACGA
This 235-nucleotide ribosomal RNA is filed under the name uncultured bacterium. Its description in RNAcentral is "partial 16S ribosomal RNA". It matches the Rfam family "Bacterial small subunit ribosomal RNA", at positions 524 to 756 of the family's 1533-position model. The record is from RNAcentral.